This 398-nucleotide ribosomal RNA is filed under the name uncultured bacterium. RNAcentral's name for it is "bacterial SSU rRNA". It matches the Rfam family "Bacterial small subunit ribosomal RNA", at positions 28 to 429 of the family's 1533-position model. The record is from RNAcentral.
GACGAACGCUGGCGGCGUGCUUAACACAUGCAAGUCGAGCGGUAAGGCCCUUUCGGGGGUACGACGAGCGGCGAACGGGUGAGUAACACGUGGGUGACCUGCCCUCAGCUCUGGGAUAAGCCUGGGAAACUGGGUCUAAUACUGGAUAUGACUCCACGGUGCAUGUCGUGGGGUGGAAAGCCUUGUGCGGCUGAGGAUGGGCCCGCGGCCUAUCAGCUUGUUGGUGGGGUGAGGCCUACCAAGGCGACGACGGGUAGCCGGCCUGAGAGGGCGACCGGCCACACUGGGACUGAGACACGGCCCAGACUCCUACGGGAGGCAGCAGUGGGGAAUAUUGGACAAUGGGCGAAAGCCUGAUGCAGCGACGCCGCGUGAGGGAUGACGGCCUCGGUUGUAAC